CAUUUUACAUUAGCACCCAAGACAAGCUCUCGUUGACAAGAAAGUACCCAGCGCUAGAAUGGCAGUCAAACUGUUUACUUGUCUGAUCGGCUUACUCUCACUCCUGGUGUUAUUUUCACCCGAGUCUGAUGCAAUUGGAAACGGAGCACACAGCGGUGGAAAAAGAGCCUUCAAGGUGAUGAGUGAUUUUCAGGACGCUGAUGACAAUGUUAUCAUGAAACGUCGACUGUGUGACGUGGCAAGACGCGCGGGAUGCUGAAAUGUUAUUCUAAAUGUUGAUGGAAAGAAACAACAAUUUUAAUAAUUAACAACGUUGUAUAAUGUUACAUAAAUUUGUCUCUUCAACAAGGUAACGUCUCUCCUUUGAGGAGUAUAAAAAGGUUAAUGUGAGCAAAAAAUAAAUAAAUAAAAACUCAAUAGUACA
Molecule: long non-coding RNA, 424 nt
Organism: Stylophora pistillata
Lineage: Eukaryota; Metazoa; Cnidaria; Anthozoa; Scleractinia; Pocilloporidae
Source: RefSeq, a predicted model, not a curated record